AACUGACGGACUCUUCGGAGGGAAGGAGCGGAAUGAGCGGCGGACGGGUGAGUAACACGUAAGGAACCUGCCUCAAGGAUUGGGAUAACUCCGAGAAAUCGGAGCUAAUACCGGAUAGUUCAUCGGACCGCAUGGUCCGUUGAUGAAAGGCGCUCCGGCGUCACCUUGAGAUGGCCUUGCGGUGCAUUAGCUAGUUGGUGGGGUAACGGCCCACCAAGGCGACGAUGCAUAGCCGACCUGAGAGGGUGAUCGGCCACACUGGGACUGAGACACGGCCCAGACUCCUACGGGAGGCAGCAGUGGUCAUAGCUGGUUUCCUG
This 320-nucleotide ribosomal RNA is filed under the name Exiguobacterium sp. PB4.1. Its description in RNAcentral is "bacterial SSU rRNA". It matches the Rfam family "Bacterial small subunit ribosomal RNA", at positions 65 to 357 of the family's 1533-position model. The record is from RNAcentral. Lineage: Bacteria; Bacillati; Bacillota; Bacilli; Caryophanales.